GUUGAAUCAUUGCCUUAACUGCAUAGGUUAAUAGCUCACCUGAUAAUGGCCUACACAUUUUCUGAGGCCUGGAGGGCCAGUUCUGACUAACAAGGAUUCAUGAGGCACAUUCCAUGGAGCAUUCCAGUGUGAACUCUGGAUGGAAGAACGACACCUCUGUGGGAUGAAUACUGCGCAGAUUGGAGACAGUGCACACUGAAGCUAGGAACACAGCUGCACACAGCAGCUCAUGAGUACACGCACGCAGGAACACACAUACCAGCAGGUGUCGGAGGAAGGAGGGUGAAGGUUUCAUCUUCAGGCAUCUGGAAGGCUUCAUGACGAGAGUAAAUAAAGGGAGACGAGAGAAAUGUACACAGGCAGGGUGAACCCACAGGCAAGAGAGCAGAGCAGUGGAUAUGGCCAGAAGAAAGAAGGCUCUGGAAGAAGUUUCUUUCGAGAGAGUUUUUUCCUGCCGAAGACAAGUUGGAUUGAAGCAUUUGGGUCUGCUUCAAAGGUCAGUAGAGUGUCUGACUUAGACACUGCUAUGAUGCAGCUUGAGGUACCAUUUUUUCCACCUUUAGAUAAUCAUUUUUAGAUCUAACAUU
This is a non-coding RNA of Peromyscus maniculatus bairdii (prairie deer mouse), 587 nucleotides long. The record is from RefSeq and is a predicted model, not a curated record. Lineage: Eukaryota; Metazoa; Chordata; Mammalia; Rodentia; Cricetidae.